Molecule: long non-coding RNA, 2069 nt
Organism: Megalobrama amblycephala (Wuchang bream)
Lineage: Eukaryota; Metazoa; Chordata; Actinopteri; Cypriniformes; Xenocyprididae
Exons: 2
Source: RefSeq, a predicted model, not a curated record
UUUAGUUCAUUAAUGGAUCUUGAGAGAGGAAAUGUCAUUGCUGGCUAACAGUGAGCCAUCGGAUUUCAACAAAAGUAUCUUAAUUUGUGUUCCGAAGAUGAACGGAAGUCUUAGGGGUGUGGUACGGCAUGAAGGUGAGUGAUUAAUGACAUUAUUUUCAUUUUUGGGUGAAUUAACCCUUUAAAAGUGCGUUCUUCUUUCUGUGCUUAAACCAAUAGCUACGGUGUUGAGUCGACGCUGCACUGCCAUCUAUCGACGUGGAUCAGCGAAAUCAUUGUUGACUUUAUGUAAAUCACACAGAUAAUAGUGAGUUUUAGGCACAAUUAUUAAUUUACUUACCUGCCUUCCGGCUUCAGACGUUAUAUUCGUUAUCCAGUAGUAGCUACAGAGACGGCAGCCAAUGAGCAUGAGGAUUCUCCAUGACGUUUAGUGAAACUCGGAUCAUGUCAUUCAACAUAGCGAAAUACAUUGAGGGGGGCGACCCGCACCGUAUAUAAUUAAAACACUAUUUUAUGGAAAAGUACUACGACAUUCAAAGUCACUUUAAGGCAAGUCAUUUCACUCGGCGGCCAUAUUUGAAACACUAUUUCAGUCAUGCAAAUACAGCUCCUAUCUCUUUGAAUGGGGAAACAUCAAAUUCUCCAAAGCUCUUCACCAAGCUUACAAUUAAAUUUUAUAUUUGAAAUCACCAAUGAUAUCUGACAACAGUCUCAUAAAUGCUCAAAUCACGACCAUAAAAAAAAAAAAAAUGCAUUUUUCAGACUGGAUCAGCCAAUGCGCAUGUGCAGUCAUAACCUACUUAUUCCGCCAUAUUGUGUUGCACUCUCUCCCAUCAAUAAAUGAGUGCACCAUCAUUGUAAAAUCUUUGGUAGAGCUACUGAAUCUUUAAAGUUACACAUAGAGUUCCCUACCCAUUAUCAACAUGCAUCCCAAGCACAACCCCUGGAAAUAAAGUAGAAAUUAAGGUAGUUGAGUGAAAGCAUUGUAGUUUGUUUAAUUCAUGCUUAGAGAAAGGCGCUGAGGCCAUGGCAAGAAGAUAACAUAUCCAGCAUCCAGUUGACCACAUAAACAUGCUUUAUUUCAACAUCCAAAAUAAUUAAAAACAUCUUGAAAUACUAUACAUGUACAAAAUAAGUACAGAUCCUUUGUUGGAACCAUUGGAGGGUUUAUUUCUUCUGUGUUUUUCUUUUUGCCGCCUCAUUUCAGUUUUUAUAAGAAACCUUUCACUGAAAACAAAUCAAACAAACGAAAAAAACAAACAAAAAAAUAAAAUAGAAAAGAGAUGUGCAUUGCAUUUUGAGAGUAGAAAUAAAAUCUGGAAACGGGGGGAGCGGCAUGUACAGACAAAUAUAAGACUUCUCUAGAAACUUAAGGAAGGGGGAAUUGGAAAUGAGACGAACUGGCAAUCAGUCCAUCCACUUAACCCAUAUCAGAUUAAGUGCAAAUCUACAGUAACCAACCUAUCCAGCUGUUUUAUUGUCCUCUUCCGCUGACACUUUGAUAAGAGCAAUUGCAUCACAUUGACAUCAAGACAUUCUGUUGACAUUUAGCACCAAAAAGGCCCUGCAAGUGUAAGUGACAGUAUAAAAAUGAAUGAGUUUGUUUUCUCUCAAAUACAAACACACCACAGACAGGACCUGGAGAGGAAGUAGCACCUUUAAUACCUGUUACUAAUUCGUUUAUUUUGCUUGAAUAAAAAACUGCCCUUGUUUCCCCCAAAAUCUCCUUACAUGCACUUUUUUGUCCUGAGGUAGCCUUUAUAUCAAGAUGACGUAGUACCACCUAACUCUGUUCCCUGUGUGACGUUUUGAGUUUUUCCUCACUUUCGGUUAGAAGGAACAAGACACUUGGCUGUCGUUUGUCAUAUUUAUUCAACACCAGAGAAUGGUACAUUAGCAUUUGCUUGUUUUUCAUUGUCCUUUUGCAGUGGUCAAAAAAAGUCACUAGGUGGUAGUUUUUCUUUGGACUCCAGGGGGUGGGGCGUUUUACAAGUAUAUAUUACUUUCUUGUUGUCAGCUGACGCAAAGGAUUCUCACUAAGUGUCCAUGAUUGUGAUGCUGGCUGAUGUA